AUUCCAUGAGGUGGGCAUUUUCUCAGCAUUUCCUUGUAACUUUCCCAAGCAUCCUACAAAGAUUCACAGCCUAGUUAUGUAAAAGAGGGGAUGCCAUUACUCAACU
This is a small nucleolar RNA of Dioscorea cayenensis subsp. rotundata (Guinea yam), 106 nucleotides long. Lineage: Eukaryota; Viridiplantae; Streptophyta; Magnoliopsida; Dioscoreales; Dioscoreaceae. The record is from RefSeq and is a predicted model, not a curated record.